GAUGAACGCUGGCGGCGUGCCUAACACAUGCAAGUCGAACGGAGUCGUUUUGGCAAUCUCUUCGGAGAUGGAAUUCUCGACUUAGUGGCGGACGGGUGAGUAACGCGUGAGCACUCUGCCUUUAAGAGGGGGAUAACAGUCGGAAACGGCUGCUAAUACCGCAUAAAGCAUUAAAUUCGCAUGUUUUUGAUGCCAAAGGAGCAAUCCGCUUUUAGAUGAGCUCGCGUCUGAUUAGCUAGUUGGCGGGGUAACGGCCCACCAAGGCGACGAACAGUAGCCGGACUGAGAGGUUGAACGGCCACAUUGGGACUGAGACACGGCCCAGGCUCCUACGGGAGGCAGCAGUGGGGAAUAUUGCGCAAUGGGGGAAACCCUGACGCAGCAACGCCGCGUGAUAGAAGAAGGCCUUCGGGUUGUAAAGAUCUUUAAUCAGAGACGAAACAAAUGACGGUACCUGAAGAAUAAGCUCCGGCUAACUACGUG
RNAcentral lists this ribosomal RNA (483 nucleotides) under uncultured bacterium. RNAcentral's name for it is "partial 16S ribosomal RNA". It matches the Rfam family "Bacterial small subunit ribosomal RNA", at positions 28 to 507 of the family's 1533-position model. The record is from RNAcentral.